GACGAACGCUGGCGGCGUGCUUAACACAUGCAAGUCGAACGGUGAACCUCUUCGGAGGGGAUCAGUGGCGAACGGGUGAGUAACACGUGGGCAACCUGCCCCCGGCUCUGGGAUAACUCCAAGAAAUUGGGGCUAAUACCGGAUGUUCACCGCUUCCCGCAUGGGUGGUGGUGGAAAGGGUUUCCGGCUGGGGAUGGGCCCGCGGCCUAUCAGCUUGUUGGUGGGGUAGUGGCCUACCAAGGCGACGACGGGUAGCCGGCCUGAGAGGGUGACCGGCCACACUGGGACUGAGACACGGCCCAGACUCCUACGGGAGGCAGCAGUGGGGAAUAUUGCGCAAUGGGCGGAAGCCUGACGCAGCGACGCCGCGUGGGGGAUGACGGCCUUCGGGUUGUAAACCUCUUUCAGCAGGGACGAAGCGCAAGUGACGGUACCUGCAGAAGAAGCACCGACCAACUACGUG
RNAcentral lists this ribosomal RNA (463 nucleotides) under uncultured bacterium. Its description in RNAcentral is "partial 16S ribosomal RNA". It matches the Rfam family "Bacterial small subunit ribosomal RNA", at positions 28 to 507 of the family's 1533-position model. The record is from RNAcentral.